Molecule: ribosomal RNA, 447 nt
Filed under: uncultured bacterium
Lineage: Bacteria
Description: partial 16S ribosomal RNA
Rfam family: Bacterial small subunit ribosomal RNA
Source: RNAcentral
AACGAACGCUGGCGGCAGGCUUAACACAUGCAAGUCGAACGCCCCGCUAGGGGAGUGGCAGACGGGUGAGUAACGCGUGGGAAUCUACCUAGUUCUACGGAACAACAGUUGGAAACGACUGCUAAUACCGUAUACGCCCUACGGGGGAAAGAUUUAUCGGAAUUAGAUGAGCCCGCGUAAGAUUAGCUAGUUGGUGGGGUAAUGGCCUACCAAGGAGACGAUCUUUAGCUGGUCUGAGAGGAUGAUCAGCCACACUGGGACUGAGACACGGCCCAGACUCCUACGGGAGGCAGCAGUGGGGAAUAUUGGACAAUGGGCGCAAGCCUGAUCCAGCCAUGCCGCGUGAGUGAUGAAGGCCUUAGGGUUGUAAAGCUCUUUCACCGAUGAAGAUAAUGACGGUAGUCGGAGAAGAAGCCCCGGCUAACUUCGUGCCAGCCGCCGCGGUAA